GCCAUCUCCUGGCAGGGAGCUGGAGCUGGAUGGGCCUUCAGCUCCCAGCCCAAACUGUUCUGUGACUCUGUGAUGAUCCUAUGGUUCUAUGAUUCUAUGAGGAGGUGAAGAGUUGAAGUCUACCAAACCAAGCAGCCGUAGUCAGGGGAAGGACAGGUGCAAGGUUGGUUGUGGCACUGAUAGUGGACAUUGCCCACUUAAAACGAUGGUGGAAUUUUGGCUCAGAUUCACUCUUCUGUUCGGCCACAAGCUGCAUUAUUUGGGAACAAUAGUUUCUGUGACGUGGGGAUGGUGAUGCUUUCCCCUUUUCUUGUAAGUCUGUAGUUCGGGUGUUGAGAUUCUGAGGACAAAAGCUGCCUCCUGUGAGGCAUUUGUACACAAUGCAGUCUGACCAAGGCUGGAGUUUUGCAGGCUCCUAUAAUGCAGAGAAUAGCAGUUAAUAAGAAAAAAGGGAAGCGAUGCAGAAGAGAGCUCUGUUUGACAGCAUGGCUGUCUGCACUGCAGUCAUACUGGAUCUGUGGAAAGAUCAUUUGUGUAGGCACAUUUUUGCUUUGGGAACAGGGGCUUUUAUUACUACCCAGUCAGAAACAGGCAUAUCAGAUGGACUAUGUAUCCAAAGGAAACAGCAAGUGGUUUGCCUUAGAAGUGUACAAAGAGAAGCGGUGUGAUGAAAGACACACUGUGUGCACCCAAGAGCCCAGCCACUGGUUCACAAACAGCUUACGAGCAGGUGUGUGUUGCAUAAAUGGGCGACCAUUAAUUGCUUGUCCCUUUCCAGUAUAGGACAGUGAUUCCCAAAAUCCUAUGUGCAAAAUGUGCGGGAUCCAGACUGCCUGCCCUGUAAGGAAUGGGGCACCAUGCUCACCAUUCAGACUACAAGAAAACUUCUGUUUUCCAGUGUGGAAAUAGUUCUAACAUCACUUCAGGACUCAUAAGUUGAUGAAAUCUGACUUUGAUAAAAGUCUGAAUCCACAAAGUAAUGAAAACAAGGAGCUCUUUUCCCCUUCCUUUUCCUCUUCCCCUUCCUCCCUCCCUCCCUUCUUUCCUCCCUCCCCUCUUCCCUUCCUUUCCUUUCUUUUUAUUUUAAAUAUAAUAGUUCAGAUCACAAACAGGAGAAAGCAAGACUAAACUUAACUGUACCACUAUUGGUGCAUAAGUAAUAAUGACAUUAUACUUGAGAAUAAUUGAGACCUGAGGGGAAAAUAUGGGGGAGGGAGAGAUGUGAUAGGCAAAGAGACAGUGAAAAUAAUCUUGAAUAAGAUUGACAAGCAAUAACUUUUAAUUAUUUUAAAGGAGAAGUGAGAAAUGUCUUUAAAAUCAUUUUAAAAUAACAAAAAAAAAAGAAAGGUGGUUUAUACAGAUCAAUCUCAUCUGCCUUCUAAAAGCUAGGAAUUGGAACUGGUGAUUGCUGUGGCUUCCAGCAAAAGCCUGAUUUUGAAAAAGCAGAAUUAAUGUUCCUUCUCAGUUGUUAAUUUGAUUUUACUGCUGGUGAGCUGUCAAAAUGUACAACUGGUGCUCUGCAAAUCAGCUAUGCACCUACCAGAGAAUUGCAAGGGCUACCAGUACAUAAUGGAUAUAGCUAGGUCUGCUAGUAUAUGAGAGUCAGGUCCUACACAAGCUCUGCUCCUCAUGUCCACAGGAGACUUCAUUAAUUCACCUGCGGCCUCCAUGUCUCUGAGGUGAUCAGGUGGGGCUGAGGGACAUGCAGGUGUGGAGAUGCCUCCAGCAUCCCUUCCAUAGGGACCUGCAGAGGGAGGCAUGCCCAGCUGUGAAAGCAUUGCUGGAGGAAACCAGCAUCUGGGCUGGGGAUUUGCUGCAGACCAUGGCUAUUACCUACCCCUGCACCACAGCCUGCAGGUGUAUUGGUGCCUGACACAGCUGGUGUCUGUCAGGGUGAAUGAGAUGAAGCCACCAGCCCGUUUUUAAGAGAGGCUUCCUGCUGUUAAAUGGGGGAGGAUGGCAGUGCAGCUGGGUAGUGCUGCCUGAGCCCUGUCUCCUGACUGGAGGAGAUGCUCCCACUUGAUGCUGCUCACCUCCAGGCUCAGCUGACAGAGGCAAGCACAGCCUUUUGCCUUGAUGCUUGUUUGCUUUAUUGACCUUUAGCAUGACAGCAGUGCACCUGCUUACAGCAGGCCAGUGACAAAGAAGUGCUGUUAUUUAUGUCAGCUGUGAGUUGAAAUGAAUACUGUAAAAAGGCAGUCUUUUGGGCGUUAAUGCACUCAUCUCCAAAGCCUCUCUCCAUGUAACUCACACCCACCCCUUGAGCACCCUGACAGGCAAACCACAUGCUGCAGUACAGCAGCCCUCAGUGAGGUACCAGGGUAAGCACACAUUUCAGUGUCCUUUCCCCCGUGCUGUCCUGUGAGCUGGUGACAGCAACACAAAUGGAGGCGUUCUCAGGGCAGCCAGAGAGGUGAAAAAGAAAAAAGUGCAAGAAUGUACGUGACUCAACAGGCACCAGUUCCUUUUUCCUCCAUUGCUUGAUGCAUUUUGUGGAGACAGAUGUCAAGAAGACUACAAGGAACUGCUGUAGAGGAAAGGGAUUGACAAGGUGGUAAAUAUGGGAGAAAACACUGUAGGGACGUGUAAGUCUUGCAAUGUCUUCUGCACAGGAAGAGCCUGUGAAGACAGUGUUGAAGAAUACAGCAAAAUCAGAAAGCAGAGCCCCUGCAGGCUGAGCUGAAGAAGCAACCCAUGCAGGUGGGGAUGCAUUUAAACCUUAGGUGGACUGAAAGGAAAGGACUAUGUGACAGGGGAGUCACAGAACUUCUCAACAAAAGGAACUAUCGUCUAGGUAGCCCAAAUCUUGCCCUCUUAGUUGUAAAUUCUCCUUAGCAAGUACUGGUAGGAAAGGCUCAACAGAGCCUUUGGGCUCUGGUGAGCAAUGCAGCCAUCUCAGUCUGCUGGUGGUAGGCAGGCAGAAGCACACAGCCCAGCUAUGUGCAGGAGGGCUGGCUUGCAGCUCCAGGCAGUGCACACAUUGAUGGAUGGAGGAGCUGCCAGGAGGGUCUGUAGACUAAAUUAUGGUCUGUGCUUGUGAGACGGAAGCCUCCGAAGCACCAUAGUGGUGCUUUCUUGACUGUCAGUGUUAAUCAGUAAAUGGUGUGAAAAAUGCCAUGGGGAACAAAAGACAGGGGAAGCCCUUCACCUUUUAAGUCCCUGUUGAUAAUGGAUUUCAAGCUGUGCAGGAAUUUCAGAUGAUCCAAAAGUGCAGGCAAUGACCUGCUACAGAGCGGAGCAAAUUCCUUUUUUGUUUUCACUUCCACAAUUCUGUUACACCAGCUAAGUCCUCAAGGAGACUGGAGGCUGUCUUGACCUUCAGAUCUUUCAGUAGGACAGAAAUGGUGAGGAACAACAGAAGACUGUGGUUUGACUGGCAUAGAUGGAGAUUAAUUCACUUCUGUAAAAUGACUGGAAGGAUUGAUUAUCACACAAAACCAUCCUGUUUGCUUAGUUGUUUUCAAGCAGUCCAGCAGUUAGAUGACAAUUUAGGAUACCUCAUAAAUCUUUUCUAAUUUCUUUUUUUUUCUUUCUCCCCCUCCCCCCUUUUUAAUCCUGACUUCCACUGAAGCUUUCCUAAAGUAGUAGUCUCUUCCAGACUGAUUGUUAUUUUCUUUACUUUCUUCUUGCAUUACUCCCACAUACCUUGAGGCCACUUCUGAUCAGCGCUGGUUGUGGUGCAAGGGGCAGAGCUGAUAAAACACAACUCCUAGUGUCAUUCUCCAAACAUGAACACGGUAAUCCAGUGUAGACAGCGCCACUUGAUAACUAAACAAGCACUACCAACUUAGGCAGCUCCAGUAGGGUGCACAGAUGACAUUUCAGUUUCUGAAACCAAAGACUUUGUGUCCCUCAGCGUGUCUGGAUCUGACAUUUUUUUGUGCACAGAGCUGCUACAUAUAGCCAGUUCCAGCCUUUCCUCCAUGACAUAAAAGACAAGAGGAAGAGCAGUCUUAUUAAGAAGUUACUGACAUGGGGUAUGAUUAUUUCUUCAUGUUACAUGGGCCUGCAGAAGCAUUUUAGUUGUAACUGGACUGUACACACAGAAUCAAGAAGUAGAUUUCCCGUUUGGAUUUUGCCCUAUUUACAGUAGCUUGACAUGUUGAGUACAAAAGUACUCCUGGUGAAUACCUAGAAGUAAUCUUUUUGAUUGACAGACAACAUUGUUUAACUAGAGACAUUGUUAUACACAGAAUAAUUUUAGCCCCUGCACUAGAAGAAGUGUUCGAGUUCUUGAUUCAUUUCCUUACAAGACUUUAUGAGGACGUCCUUUGCAGUGUUCAGUCUCAGAAUCUAUGUAGUUAUCUCUGUACUCAAUUAAUCUCAAAAUCAUUACUCUUGCUGACAAAACUAAACUAGCAGUUCUUCUCUUUUUGCUUAGCUCCUGUGGGUCCCAUACUCCCAUAGGAAUGGAAAGAAAGCCAUAGACUUCUUCCUUGUACAUAGGAACAGGCUUUGUAUUUCUGUACAGGCAUGAGCUCCAAUCUUUUUCUAGUUAUGUGUUUUCAAACUCAAUUGCAGACAAAGCCCAGGCAUGCAAAUCUGUGACUCUCAAUUGGAAGGAAUAUAGCACAACAUAAUUCAUUGGAAGAUCUUUUGGAAGAGGAAUGUGGUAUUUCUUUGAAAAGUCUUUAAGCAAGCUGAUUUUAUACAUUCCCUCUCCAACACUCAUAGACUCAUAAACAUCAAAAUUUAGGUCUGCAUGGUCUGGACACAGAAGGCAAGGAAUGCUAGCUACCAUGUCCUCAUCUUUUUUUUUUGUGGCUGUUCGUGACAGGAGACAUCAAGCUACUUUAUGGUCAUUCUUUUUACAUCCCUUAGGAGACAUCUGUUAUUAUGAAGGAAUUCUUUGCCUUGAGUUUGUACUUACUUCACUUUUUAUGAAUGUUAUGUCACACUGCUGUCCACUGGUGUUUUUCCGUUGUGUAAAAUACGUUCUAAAUGUCUGUUACUGCUGGUGCAUGGACUGCAGUCUUCUACCACUGGGUUAUCCCAGUGGUUGUGACAAAAACAGUAACUUCCCUCAAUCUUGCUGUUUGGAGUGGUGUCUAGGGAGCUGUGCUUCUUCUGGUAGUCACGUAUACAUUGCUGUUCAUUCUUCAUUCAUACUUCCUCAUAUUUUUGUCACAAAUCUAUACAAGCAUGUAUUCUAUAUAAUCAAGUGGUACUAUUGUGCUCUGGUAUAUUUUAGUGGUGGGUACAGAUUUCAAACCUAAUUUUUAUUGGCCUCUGAGGGAAAGAACCUAGGGAAAACAUCUUCUUAGGUCUUUCCGAAACCUUGUUGAAGAUGGCUCCAUUAAAACUUUUACUGACCUUCACUGACAUGCUAAUUUCUUUCCAGAAUCUGUGAGAACCUCUUCCCUAAGAAGUAAAUAAAUACUGGAGAGAGAUGCUAAUCACAGGACAGGAUGGGAAACUAUCAGUGUUCUUGUGGCUGUAUCCAAAUGCAAGGAAAAGAAAAAAUUUUCAGAAAAAUACCCAUAUUUUUAGAGAUGGAAAAUGGCUAAAGUUCUCUCCUCAAAUUACCUGAGCCAAAAUUAGAUGUAGUUUUAGUCACACAAAAAUCAAUGAUGAGCUUGCUCUGCAUCAUGUUCUUCAGGAAAUUAUGUCAUACAGUGCACUAUGUCCCUUUUAAGAUGGAUCUAAUAGAUCUCUAGAAAAUGGACUUUUCAAAAAUAUGAAAUAGGCAAAUAUCAUUGGUGAGCACAAUUAUAUACUUACAGGCUGCAAGUAGGUCAGAAUUUUCAGGACUGGUAUUGACUUUCUUGUUCUUUCUCCUCUACUGCUAAACACCCAUCUGUAUUGCAGCUUUUAACCCAUCUUCCCACUCCAGUGGUUGUCAGCCAGUCAACUGGAAAGCAGGUCUGGAGAAGGGAAGGGGAAAGAAUGCGAUGCUUGUUCACAUUUAUCCUGCUUUUCAGUGAUUACAGCCUCAGUUGAUGCAGCUACUGCGCAUGUGGUUGUUUGGUUUUAAAAAAAAACUUGUUUCUAAUGAGAGCUAAAAUCUUUCUAUUUGGCUGCAAAAUAAACAGAUCAAGGUUUUUAACACUCCCAAAACUUUUCUUCAUCACACCAUAAUGAGAAAGAGUCAAUAAAAGACAUUUGAAUGAGAAGGGGUUAUUCUCUUCUUUUACUGUUCCAUGACAGAUAUUCCUGAGAUUCAGACUGUGAGCUGUAGUCUGUGCUGAUUUUCUGACAAUAUAACUGAAGAUCUAUGGGGCCUGCAGGAAAUCUGGGGUCAGUCAUGGUAUCUGGGUUCCUGUAUGAAAAGCCAUUAAGCAUCAUCAACAUACUCAUCUUUCCAAAUGAAGUUAUGAGAAUUCAUGUGGCAGAGCAUUCUCUUAAGAGUUCGUGGUUAACUUGAAGGAUUGAUGAUUCAAAAAAUGUCCAUUUUUAACAGUAACUAAACCUGUUCAAAACUCAUGUGCACGUGGCUAAGCUCUCCUCUGCUUGUCUCCUCACUGUAUUUUGGAAUUAAUUCUUCCCAAAAUUAUUCCCAAACUUCUCUUGAGUAGGAUUUAGUUGGCACCAGAAAAAAAAGGUGCCAGAUAAAGUCUUGAUGAUUAAACUUUGUGAAGAGACAUCCACCAGUCCUUCAGCCUUCUUUCUGUUCCUCUUCAGCUUACUUAUACAGUUCCAAAAAACACUCAACUUCCUAUACAUAUCAUGGAAAUAGAUUAGUCUGUUAAAUUAAAAGAUGCCAUCAGUUCCCUUGUAAAAGAAAAAAAAAAAAGAUAAAAUUUGAACUCAACCUCUGUUAAUAAUUAGAGUUCCGGAAAUAGGCGUGGGACAAUUACCAAGCCACUGGGGACCUAAUUCCUCAAUGGCUGUUUCUCCAUGCUAGAGAGAAUCUGCUGCCUAAUGAAGGGUAAACUUCAUUCCCUCAGUAAGUCUCAGUUAAAAGUCAGCCAGCCAGAACAAUCAAAUCCGCUGGAAAUCAGUCCCUGGGUUGUUCACAGAACUGAUGUUAUUAUUGUGUGUGUCCAGAUGAUUUGCAGAACAGACUCUGGUACUCUCUAUCCUCAAGAGGUUUGCAGAGGAUGGUGUGGGGAUGCUGGAAGUCAAAGGUGAGGCUUGCUUGGGCAUCUCAUCACUCAUGUUUUCCACUGUUCAUGCUGUGCCUUUUCAGACAGGGCUAUGCCGGGUGCCUGCCAGCUCUGCUUAACCAUGAAAAGUCCUGUGAGCCGCGAGGCAUCAGAGCGUGGCACUGUGCAACCCAAAUGACUCAGCCCUCCUCAUCUCACUGAUAAUUCCUGAUCACUGCUCUGGAUAUGAGCUCUGAAGGACCAACCUCAACCUUUGCUCCCAUUGCUUCAAACUGCUUCAUCACAGAUCGGAGAGAGCAUUUCACCCCACAUCAACUGCCUUACAUGUAAUGCAAAUGAUUGCUGAUUCCUUAUGAUGUGAACAAGAUUAUUCCAGGGCAAUUAGAUUUGUAGAGAACAAAACCAGUUUUCUACAGCAACUGGCAAUUUCUCAGUGUCCUCACGCAAAUUUUGGAUUGUACACUAUCAUGCUGUUUUUUACCUGGCCUAGAACCAGGAGGGCAGUAUCAUUACAUUGACUGCAAAUGACAUUAUAGGAAACAGGGACAACUCCAGUGUGACAAAUCAUCUCCAGAGCCAGAUAAGCAAAUAAGAGCUAUUUCAGCCUGUAGUAAUUUUAAUAAGAAAAAAAUUCACUGUAUUUUAUUCUACGUAACUUGAUAAUGUGUAUUGCUGCUCAGGACAACCUCUGAACUGUCCAUAUAUAGAUGAGAUCCUAUUAAAAGCCACAACAGACAUGAAGAUAUGCUGAGACGUAUACCAUAAAAUUCUGUUUAAAAAACAUACAAAGCAUGCCUAUUCUGAAAGAAAAGUUAUUUUAUCUGUGAAAAUUAAGACCAGAGAUUUAUCAACCUUGUUUUACUUGCAAGAGAGCUUCUGUUACUUUCACUUCAUCCUUCUGCUUGGAGAAACAGUCAGAGCAAAUUUUAUUAAUCCCAACACUUGAGAUAACUCCAUGGAUUGUAACAGAGUGGCUGGAGGGGAAAAAGAUGGAUUUGCAUUAUCAUAUCAAAUCCUCAUGUCAUGUGACGACUCCCUGCUCCUUCAAGAGAUGGGGGAUAGAAGAACUUUUCCUGAGAGGUGAAGCAUUUGUCAUCGACAGAUUUGCUCGGAAAGCUCUUGUGGAAACCACAAAGAAUAUGAAAGGAUGGGAGGCAUAUAACCUUGCUGAAGUGGCUCUGCCUCAGAGGAGACAAUACCAAACCUUAUGAUCAAGUGUUACGGGAAUGCUCUGAAAUAAAAUGUCAUGUGCUGUUGGAGACGACUAAGUUCUAGGAGAUCCACUGGCUGCCCUACAGUUAAACCUCACAGUUUUAGGCGGGAGUUAAAAAUAAUGGUUAUCUGAUGUGAGGGUGUUAUUUGAAAUGGGAGGCGCUGGGUUUCCUGAGCAGCUCAGAAAUGUGAGCCCAUUGUGGGUGUGAACAUCUCCCUGGAAGUGCAUAACGUAAAAUGUGAACAAUCUUCAACUGCAUCAAGGAGAAGGAGAGGGAGGAAGCAAAAAUGCCACCCUCACCUUUGAUUUUUGGCUUUAGACAUCUUCAUAGUAGAUCAUUCAGAUGCCUAGGGGAGCAUCAGAGACAAUAUCUAACCCAUGACAUUUUAUACAUUUUUUUCCUGUCUAACAAGACUUGCAAUGCUGUGUCAGCCAGGGAUUUCUCUAUUAUAAUGUGACAGUUUAGACUACAUACUGUGAAACAUAGGCUAAAAUUUCUUCUAUCUUGACACUUGCAGUGACAUGUUUUCAACUCGAGUUGUAAUUAAAGACUAAGUUGGUUUCAUUUUUAAACAGCAGGUUUAACCAUACAAUGUAUGUCAGAAGAUAUAACUUGCGAGAGCAGUAAAGUAAACCGGAAUUGACGCAUUUCAAGUGGUGCGAAAUGUUAAAGAAUUCUUAAAAGGUAAAGAGUGCAUACUUAGGUGGCUGGUGGUGUUUGAGAUAACGUGCUCCUAAAGUGUUGAAAAAGACAUUAGUUUUGAUUCUUUACUAAGAGGAACAGACCAAAGCGUGCUGUGCGUACCACAGCAUCUGUUGCAGAUGGGUUCAGACUUGGGUUGUGGCCCUGGUGUAGUGUGCUGAAUCUCUUCUUACCCUUGGUAUAUCAGAUAUCAUGCUUACUUGUAUAUGGGUAGCCUGUUGGAGUGAAUUCAGGAGAACAUCUAAGAGGAGAACACAGAGGGGCAUGAGUCAUUAGGGUACGCAUGUUUCUGAGUUUGUUUUUCUCCAACUUCAGAAAGAAUUUGGCUGUUCCAUUAAAAAAAAAAAACCACAAAAACAAUGUGUUUCAUUUUAAGAUUGAUUAUUUUUCUUGUAAAUUACUGGUAUGUGUAUACAGCCUGAUCCACUGUUUUGUUAAUGGAGAUAGCUGUCCUGGACCACACUGAAUUACUGAAUAUGGUUCACUUGCUGUUUUCACUGCAUUUUUUCUAUACAGGAACCUACUUAAGACAAGUCCUCUAAUAGUUGCUCCGAUUUUCUCUCACUUCUGCUGAUGUUCUCCAUAUCCACUUGCUCCUUUUAAAAGGAUUCAUUCAGUUCUGCUAAUCUUUCCAAGUUGCAUUACAUUUUUUCUUUCUAGACAUGUCAAAGCUAUCAUAACCUGCAAUUUAUUUAUUCCUCCAGGUAGCUUUGCAUGGCACAGAUCAUGUCAAAGGGCUCCAGAAACUUUUACAAUUAACAGUUGUAGCUGCUUAGCAAGUGGCUAUCAUUAGUAGCCUCUGUGUUCGGCUUACUUAAUUGGUUACAGCCAAUCACCAGUGGGUUGUUGUUCUCUGUGCAAUUUGUCAUGGAGUCAAAUAAGCUUUUCCCUGACCCAUUUAAAAGUCUAAUGUGGACUGUUGUGCUUAAUUGAUUAAUAGCUGCCUGGUGUUAAGGCACUAAUUGGAAGCAGGCCGUUGGUGCUGGACUGAUGAGCAGAGUUUUCUGUAGGGAUGGGUAGCCCAGGGUCAGUGUAACUCACUUCACAGAUGAGUCAGAGCAGGACACUCAGUAUAAUGUGUGGGGACACCAAGGGAAGAGACAUCUUUUCACCAUGAAACAUCUAGAUUUUAUGAUAAAGCCGAUAACUUUGUUGUCCCCUGCCUUUACCAUAAACAUGGCUGUAAAACAGCUCAUUAAAAUGUGCUGUGACAGGAGCCCUAUUAUUUCCUGAGCAGAUCAGAAGGAUUGGACACUCCAGACCUAGGCAGGGAGUAUAGGAAAAGGAGAGCAAUGCUUCUGUGCUGUGCUCCUCUGUGCCUAAGACAGCUUGUCAGACAAGGGGAUGUCAUUUUCCUCUCUAAUAUCUUCUGAGCCUCAUCAGAAAUUUCUCUGCUGGCUUGAGAAGGCUGCUAGGACCACAUAAGCCUCUUCCCAACAAUGGCUAUUGGGCCUCCCAGAUGUAUUUCUUGCAGGCAGCCUGAAAUUGAAGUUGAAAUUGCUUUAAGAGGAUGAUGUGCUUGCCUGAAGAUGCCCAGUUCCAGUUUGCUCAUUUGGAUUGCUGAACAAGCCUUAUUCCAUCCUCUGAAACACUGAUUUCUUCACAAAGCUGAAUGUUUACUGGUUUGAGUUUAACCUAGUAUUUAGUGUGUAAACCUAGAAAAGCACUUCCUCAUGCCAGAAAAUUGUUGUGUAGCUUUCUGGUGAGACUGUGAUCUGGAAGCCUUUUGCUAGGGAGCGCUGUUCGAUAGUAAUACCAAAUGCAAUUUAUAGAAGGCAGGUAAAUCUUUAAUGAACAGCAUUUGUGUGCUGAACAUAUGUUGAAAUGAAUGCAUAAUUGAAAAAGAUUUGUUUAUGAAGGUUCACCUGAGAUUUGAACAGUAGCAAUUUAAACUGAACAUUGCUAUUCUCGAUGCGUGCCCAUUUGUCAAGUUUUUCUAAACACGGACUGAGAACAGCAAGUGAAGCUUGCUAUGCUAGUACAAUACUUUUGCACUAACCUGCACUGGAAAUGAUCAAUAUUUAAAGCAAAGUGAAACUAAUUAUUCUCCCUCUAGGCACUGAAAUCAAUUUUUUUUGCAAAUCCUACUAGAGUGAAAAAAAAAGAAGGUGACAUUGUUUUCUGCACAUUUCCCUCUCAUUCACAUUAAUGCUAUGAGAAGAUUGGACUCAAAUAAUUGCAACAGACCUAUUAUGUAUCAUGCUGUAGCAUGUAGCAGUCGGAAAGAUCAACACCUUGGAAAAGGUGAUACAAAUGAGCUGUAAUGACAGAAGGACCAGCACGAUAAAAAGGUGCUAUAAAGGAAGGGAAGAAGACUGCUCACCCAUCUCUGAAGAUCUAGUUUUGCAUUUCCUGCUGAAGGAGGCUCAGUACUUGACCGGAAAGACAGAAACAUUGCUGUUUCACAUGAGAUGGUUUCCCAAAUAGCAGACUGUUAACAUGUAUGUAGCCUCUUCAAUUUGUUUUUGUAUUUUCUUUCAUCUUAUUUAUGCGUUAUCUGCCUUCAACUGUUCAUUGCAAAGGUGAUUUUUACAUUGUGCCCUGGAUGCAAUCCAACAAUGUAUGCAAACUAUCUGUGAAGCAAAUGAUGAUAUUUAAAACUAAUUAUCAAACCAAUUAGCCAAAUGAAACAUAAAUCCUUCUGGAGAUUGAAGUCAUGGUAUUGAUUGUGGCUAAAUUCUCCUUUAUCACCCAUUUAGAUAGAAAAAAAACUAAAAUAGUUUGCUGGAAGCAUUCAUUAAGUCUGUUUUAGUCUCACUUUGGAGCAGUUUUGAGUGCUGAAUCUAAGCUGGGAUCAGCACUUUCCGUGCUCACACUUAAAGUGCUGUAUGUAUAUCAUUUAAGCAUCUGGGUUUCUGGAGUUAUUCUCUAGCAGGAUAGCUGCCUCUUCAUGUAAUGACACUUGCCUAUAUUUUCCCAAGAGGUAUUUUGCAGACACAUUUACUGAUAACUCUAAAUCUGUCCUUUAUGAAUUAAUUAAAAUGGUGUUUGUGUUUCCUUCUCCCUCAAGGAAGAAUGUAAAUGAACCGUACUAUGCUUAGAGCAUUACCAUUGAGUUGUCUUGAAAAUCUCUGUUCAAGAAUGUGAAUAUAGUAAGCACUGUUCAGGUAAAGAAACAGAAUAUAUUUGUAAUUCUUUUACCACUAAAUAUACAAUGCAAGUUUAAAAGAGCCAAUCAGAAAUCUCCCAGUGUAACAGAAAACAGUAAAAUGUAAGAGAGAAAGUGCAUCACAUUUCUCUGUAGAAAUGUGUGUAUUUCAAUGCUAGGCUACAUAGUUAGGCACAGCAAAAAUCAGGAAAUCUGAAAAAAAAAUUUCCUUUUUUUGCCCAAAGUAUGGACUUUUGAGAUCUUAAUUUCUGUGCAUCUUCCAGACACUUAGAGCUCAAUUAAAAUGAAAUGGAUGACAAUUUAUUGAAAGAGGCGGAAGCAUUGCCAUUCUUAGUCCAGGGUUAUAGAGAGUAUUCUUCUCUUACCAGAUGCAGCACAGUGAUUUCAGAAGCCUGGUAGCAUUGAUACUGGGACUGCACCAACCGUUUGUGGAUUUGUAGAUAUGCUGUCAAUCAGUAUCAAGUGAUCAGUAAUAUAAGCCUUGGCAACUGCAGCCUCUUGUCAUCUGGUGUGCUCAAACACUUCAUCUGAGGAUGGGUGUACUCUGGGUUUUAAAGAGGGAGAAAAUGAGGCAGCGAGGUAGGAGACUGUUUUCCAAGUAAAAUGGGAUAGUUCAAGUUGCCAUUCGCUUGUCCUGAGGGAACAAGCAUCAGGAGGUCUUGCUGGUGCAUGGCAGCUGCCAGCCUUUCAGAAGUUCUGAGGUUGAUAACGUUUGAAUGUCAGCAGGCACAUUUAAACAUUUAGGCAAGGAUGCCCUACCUAGAUGCAGCAGCAAUUUACUGGUAAAACAUGAUUCUCUUGUUUCUCAGAGUAUUUAUUAUGCAAUUGUCCAAAAAAGAAAGGAAAAAAAAGAAGAAAUGCACUCAUGUUUCUCCUCUCAUUAUUAUUUCUAAAAUCAGUUGCUUUUAAAAGUCUGAAUAUCUGUAUGACAGGCUGACCCAAAUUCACUGCUUUUUUUGGAGCUGCUUUGCUGGAACAAGAUGAACAAAUGUCAAUUCUCAUUUUCUGUUUUUAUGGGAAUAGACCAGAGUGAACGUAUUUCUACCAAUAAGAUAAGGAAGGCACUGUGAAAUGUUACAUGCAAAUUAGGCUGAGAUGAUGUUUCUAUCGGGGGAAAUAAAAGCUCUUUCCUGAAAUUCCCUCAUCAUUCCUUUCAUUUUCUGCAGAUAAGCUGUAUGUAAAGCUGUCAGGCUGAUAAUUAGGCAAAUUAUAGGGACCUUCUCAUAAGAAAACUAACACAAUUUCCAGAGAGAAUUUCAAAUGAAGAUGCCCACAAGGAAGGCAGAAGUCUGAGCUUGUUUUCCUUUAUUGAGACUGAUUCACAAAUACCCAGGUUUUCCCCUGUCUCCUCUUCACUUCAGCAAGAGGAUUUAGAGGAGGCCUUUGUUGCAAUCAAUAGGUCUCUGAACAACACUUGGCAUCCUGAAAGUAGCAUAUUUUAAUGCAAUUUCAUUUCUUUGAAAAUGUUCCUGCUAGCUCUGGCAAAAUUGUGCAAGCUGUCCGCACGUUGCAUGAUUUUCAUGUGAAGUCAUGAACCAGUGAAGGUUUAUUCCAAAAUCAGCAUGGAUUUGUGAAGCUUUCAGAAAUCUUUCCCAAGAGAGAGUUUGUGGGGAAAGCCAAUUAUAAACUAGGUUGCAUAAUUUGUCACAAAGUCUCCAUAUAGAGUUCUACAGAGAAAUAAAAGAAUUCCUUGCUUGUCAGGGCAUGGCAUGAUGCUAUGAAAGUGUGUGAUGAUCAGCCUUUGUUCUUUUAAGAGAAACAAAUAACGUUCAUUAAACAGAGAAGAGUGUGCUCAGGAAAGGUAAAUAUAAUUAUCUAAAUAGAUUGGAGCCACUGCUCAAAGUAAUCAGCGGAAAAGUUUUGGGAAAGUAUAGUCAGUGGUAAAACAGAUGGUAAUACGCUGCAUGCAUUCAACUAUUUUUGUGUUGAGAAUUGUGUUGUCAUAAGAUGCUUACAUUUCUGACAGGCAUUUUGCUCACUCCUGAAUGGUACCUGUGUAAAAAAAUUAGCAUUUUUCAAAAUCAAUAGAAGCAGUUCAUUAAAAGAUAAAGGAAGUUAAUCAUACUGGCACAUCAUCCAGCUGGCUAUUUCUGGUUGAGGUCUCUGGCUGAGGUUCACAGUCCAUAGUUAUUACUUUUUAAUCAGUGGUGUGGAAGAAGAUAUUGUCAAGGCAUGCAGGCUGGGCAGCAUUUACCUGGAAAAAACCAAAUGAACAGAUCCUGAGAGACUAUGGGACGUGACUUAAGAAACUGCUGGAUGUGAGAGAGCGCACCAAGAAACUGAAGGAAGAUGCAGAUGGUGCCGUAAAGGAGUGGCUGGACUUCACAAGAAUAAAAACCUGCCAAAGCUGACACCCUGAGGAGAAACACCCAUCCCUCAGUCCUACUGUACUCAUGAAAAGACAAUGAAUUUAGGUAGGUAAACCAUUUCACUCACCUCAUCUACUUUUCUUACCCUCUUUACAAACAAUUCCCCAAAUCCUAAUUUCGUUUCUGCGAGUACUUCUGCUGAUUCUUUUCAGACUGUUAAUCUCUGGCUGAUAUGUCUGUGCCUUUCUUCCACAGCCUCAUAUUCUGGAACAGAACCCGAAAAUUAAAAGAUUAUCUGUUCCCAAACACUGGUCCCUGAUCAGGCUGGAAGCGUCUUUGUUGUUGAGUGGCAGAUUGCCAUUUGUGCUUAUUAUGUUGCAAUUAAAUCUCUUGAGAGUGAUUAUGGAAAGUUGGAAACCAUUUCAUAAUAAAACGGCUUGGAGCCAUUGCUGGAGGCAAAGUAUAUUCUCCUGUAUCUAUUCAUGAUAUCGAGCACAACAUGUAUAAAAUAAUCUGGCAAGGAGCAGCACAGCCAAUUUAAAGCAGAAAUGAUUCAUGCUGUUUUUAAAGUUAAUCUUCCAACAAAAUAUCUAGCGACAGGAUGUAUUCUCCCUUUUCCCAUUGAUUGAAGGGGUUAAUCUCAGACCUGUCUGCAAAGCGUGUUGUGGUUCAUAUGAAAGCUGCGGACUAGUGGCAGGGAUCAGUGCAUGAAACAGCAAUAUCCAGAGGUUAAAUUAGAUAGAGAAGUGUUCAUCUCCCCUUUAACCUGUUGUAAAUUCCCACAUUUCACCAAACUAGAGAGAUUUCUGUUUAUAUUGAUCAUUUGUGUUUUGAAGAUUGGUCUCAUAACCCCCACCAUUAGUGACCAUGUUUACAUUUCUGAUGGAGUAUAAAGCAAUGUGACCAUGACCUUACAUAGAAUUUUCAUUAUUAAGACACUCUGUCUGGUGAUCCAUGUAUAUAAUGAAGUAGAGUCUAAUAUCCACCCACAGCAGGGAGAAACUUUGUAUUUUUAUAUCUGCACUGCUGCAAGGAUAGGACACCUCCACACCAACCCUUUAAUUCAGUUAUCUUAAAAGCCAAAUAGCAAGGCACUCUAGGAACAGCAACCCUGUAAGCUUAUGAUGGUAAAGUGCAACUUUUCACAUCACAGCUGUACUACUCUCUCUUGAUACUUUUAUCUAUUCAGCGGCUGAAGAAUCUCACUGCUUUACCACGCGUGUUUUAGGAACCACUCUGAUGUCCUGGAAAUCUUGAUCAGCAAUAACCUGCCAUUGUUACUGGUUUACCUCCUCGCCUUUCAUGUGUGCCUGGGACUGGGAACCCCCCUGUGCUCUGCAGUGGCAUUAGGGGAGGCUGGAAACCUUUGUUUUUCCAAAACCAGAAACUCAUUCUGCUGUUAUCACACGGCUCCAAGAACUGAAGCUUUACAAAAGGCUCCAGAGUGAUAAUACCGUAAAGCCCAAAGAGCUACCUCAGUGCAGGCUGUGGUGAAGCAGCGCAGCUGAGCAAUACAGGUGACAGGCUGCACGUGUCUGUCUGUGAAGUCAUGCCCCGAGGACUUUCCUCAUGCUUCAUUUCUCUCAGGGAGAGGAUUAUGGGCUUUGGAGUUUCGUACUGCGCUUGGUGGGUGUGUAUGACUUUUUUUUUAUUUUUUUUUUCUUCCUUUGGGAUAAGCUGCUGCAAAAUCCUGCAGUGCCUCUGCGGGAGCCCCAGGUGUGCGUGCGGAAGCAGUGGGUGCCCCCUGUGACACCAGCACAGCUACCUCUCUCUGGAAACAUGCAGCAUCCCUCUGAAGCUGGGCAGGUCUGUCUGUCAGCGUGACUCAUCUCACCUUGCGGAUGCUUCUGAAUUAAGGGAGCUUUUGAAAGCAUUCCCCCAAGGAGAGAGCAGCUGCUGUCAGAAAAGCCAGGCGGGGACUUCUAGACACCUCCUCAGGCAAAGAAUCCUCCAAGGGACACAAGAGCCUGGUGCCCUUCCCAGGCUGGAGGAGAGCUGUGCCAGGCUGGCAAGCCUAGCAGUGUAAAGAUAGGUUAAUUCCACCCUCAGCCUCCCUUACCAGAUGCCACUGAGAAAUGCUUCUGCGCUGGUUUAGAUGUGGGAAGUCUUUUCUUUCUGCUCUUGCUGGGGGCUUCAGCUCUGAAUUUUGCUUUGGUUUCCAAAGUCAAAAUUAAUUGAGAGUUCACUUGGUUUUGUGAUGGAACACAAGGGAUCAGACCGAUCUGCGGGUUUUGGCACAAGAGCAAUAAAACCACGCCAGGUUUCCCUGGGCAGAGAAGUACUUUUCCUUUGUUUUGUUUCAUCUGGUAAAUUUUCAUCAUGUAAUAAAGUGGGAGCCCAGGAAAGCCUUGGAUUUAUUCAUGUCUUUUAACUCAUCUUACUUAGCUCAAAUUUUACUACUGGUCUAAUGUGAAACUGCUGUCUCUGAAUUUUUCCUCUUGGUUUAUGGUUCAACUGCUGAUGCACGAGCCAAAAUAAAAUAUGAUCCCCUUUCCAUAUGUAUGAUGACACUGCAGUAAUGACAUAACUCAACGAUAAUAAACCAAACCAAACAAAACUUCUUAUUGCUGCUAAGAAAGUUCUGUGAUAAAAUUUCAGCUAAAGGUAAAGGAUUUCACAUCCACAUAAAUAACUUUUCAAGGGCAGAAAUGGAUUUUAAAGCCAUUCAUCUCAGAAGAGAAAUGCUUUCAGUUCCUCUGAACAUUGCUUUGCUCAAUGAUGUUUUGCAGUCUGUAGGAUUUGUUUAAGCACUAAUCUGUCAAAUACAGAGGGAGCUAAGAUCGCUGAUCUGAGUCAUUUGUGGAGAGGAGACAGCCCUUCCACCUUAAGCAAAUCUAUGAUCGCACUGAAGGAAUUGUUUGCAUCAGAGCCACCAAGUGGGAGGUUGAAGCCAAGUGUGCUGUCUGGGUUCAGAUAUACGGAAACCAUCAGAAAAAUCUUGCGGAGUGUGAUGCAGAUACAUCAAGGUCCUGUCUGCAGGUGUGCCUGCACCUGGCUUGGGAUGAUUCCUCAGCUCUAGGUGCUUGGAUGUGGUGGAGUUCCCGAGGGACUGCUCUGGGCACGUGCCUGGUCCUCAUUCCUCCCUGGGCUGCUGGCUCAGACACACCAGAGACAGGAUCCCACAAUGGGUGAACAUACAGCCUGCAAUGCAGGGCUGCUCUGAUGUUACUUAGGUGCAAUUUUUUUCUGUGCUGUUAUCUACUGGCGUUAUUAAGCUCUCUUGUUAUAUGUAAUAAGAUAAAAAAACCUUUCCUACUAAUGUAAGCUUCUAGUGAAUCCUCCUCAAAUAAAUGUUGUGUUUUGU
Long non-coding RNA from Numida meleagris (helmeted guineafowl), 17684 nucleotides. RefSeq lists it as uncharacterized. The record is from RefSeq and is a predicted model, not a curated record. The transcript has 3 exons. Lineage: Eukaryota; Metazoa; Chordata; Aves; Galliformes; Numididae.